AGUGAACGCUGGCGGUAGGCCUAACACAUGCAAGUCGAACGGCAGCACAGUAAGAGCUUGCUCUUACGGGUGGCGAGUGGCGGACGGGUGAGGAAUACAUCGGAAUCUACUUUUUCGUGGGGGAUAACGUAGGGAAACUUACGCUAAUACCUCAUACGACCUACGGGUGAAAUCAGGGGAUCUUCGGACCUUGCGCGAUUGAAUUAGCCGAUGUCGGAUUAGCUAGUUGGCGGGGUAAAGGCCCACCAAGGCGACGAUCCGUAGCUGGUCUGAGAGGAUGAUCAGCCACACUGGAACUGAGACACGGUCCAGACUCCUACGGGAGGCAGCAGUGGGGAAUAUUGGACAAUGGGCGCAAGCCUGAUCCAGCCAUACCGCGUGGGUGAAGAAGGCCUUCGGGUUGUAAAGCCCUUUUGUUGGGAAAGAAAAGCAGCAGGUUAAUACCCCGAUGUUCUGACGGUACCCAAAGAAUAAGCAACGGCUAACUUCGUG
This 492-nucleotide ribosomal RNA is filed under the name uncultured bacterium. Its description in RNAcentral is "partial 16S ribosomal RNA". It matches the Rfam family "Bacterial small subunit ribosomal RNA", at positions 29 to 507 of the family's 1533-position model. The record is from RNAcentral.